This 257-nucleotide ribosomal RNA is filed under the name uncultured prokaryote. RNAcentral describes it as "partial 16S ribosomal RNA". It matches the Rfam family "Bacterial small subunit ribosomal RNA", at positions 524 to 780 of the family's 1533-position model. The record is from RNAcentral.
UACGGAGCAUGCGAGCGUUAUCCGGAUUUAUUGGGUUUAAAGGGUGCGUAGGCGGCUUUUUAAGUCAGCGGUGAAAUUUUGCAGCUUAACUGUAACAGUGCCGUUGAUACUGUUUGGCUAGGAUUUGGUUGUAGUGUGCGGAAUGUGUGGUGUAGCGGUGAAAUGCUUAGAUAUCACACAGAACACCGAUUGCGAAGGCAGCACACUAAGUCAUUAUUGACGCUGAGGCACGAAAGUGUGGGGAUCAAACAGGAUUA